RNAcentral lists this ribosomal RNA (1079 nucleotides) under Frigoribacterium sp. 734G136. Its description in RNAcentral is "bacterial SSU rRNA". It matches the Rfam family "Bacterial small subunit ribosomal RNA", at positions 56 to 1146 of the family's 1533-position model. Lineage: Bacteria; Bacillati; Actinomycetota; Actinomycetes; Micrococcales; Microbacteriaceae. RNAcentral also lists the same sequence under 1 other name. The record is from RNAcentral.
UGCAGUCGAACGAUGAAAGCGGGAGCUUGCUCCUGCUGGAUUAGUGGCGAACGGGUGAGUAACACGUGAGUAACCUGCCCUUGACUCUGGGAUAAGCGUUGGAAACGACGUCUAAUACCGGAUACGACCUUCGGAGGCAUCUCCUGGGGGUGGAAAGAAUUUCGGUCAAGGAUGGACUCGCGGCCUAUCAGCUAGUUGGUGAGGUAAUAGCUCACCAAGGCGACGACGGGUAGCCGGCCUGAGAGGGUGACCGGCCACACUGGGACUGAGACACGGCCCAGACUCCUACGGGAGGCAGCAGUGGGGAAUAUUGCACAAUGGGCGAAAGCCUGAUGCAGCAACGCCGCGUGAGGGACGACGGCCUUCGGGUUGUAAACCUCUUUUAGUAGGGAAGAAGCGAAAGUGACGGUACCUGCAGAAAAAGCACCGGCUAACUACGUGCCAGCAGCCGCGGUAAUACGUAGGGUGCAAGCGUUAUCCGGAAUUAUUGGGCGUAAAGAGCUCGUAGGCGGUUUGUCACGUCUGCUGUGAAAACUGGAGGCUCAACCUCCAGCCUGCAGUGGGUACGGGCAGACUAGAGUGCGGUAGGGGAGAUUGGAAUUCCUGGUGUAGCGGUGGAAUGCGCAGAUAUCAGGAGGAACACCGAUGGCGAAGGCAGAUCUCUGGGCCGUAACUGACGCUGAGGAGCGAAAGCAUGGGGAGCGAACAGGAUUAGAUACCCUGGUAGUCCAUGCCGUAAACGUUGGGAACUAGAUGUAGGGGCCAUUCCACGGCUUCUGUGUCGCAGCUAACGCAUUAAGUUCCCCGCCUGGGGAGUACGGCCGCAAGGCUAAAACUCAAAGGAAUUGACGGGGGCCCGCACAAGCGGCGGAGCAUGCGGAUUAAUUCGAUGCAACGCGAAGAACCUUACCAAGGCUUGACAUAUACCGGAAAAGUUCAGAAAUGUUCUCCCCGCAAGGUCGGUAUACAGGUGGUGCAUGGUUGUCGUCAGCUCGUGUCGUGAGAUGUUGGGUUAAGUCCCGCAACGAGCGCAACCCUCGUUCUAUGUUGCCAGCACGUAAUGGUGGGAACUCAUAGGA